AUCACAUUGCCAGGGAUUA
Molecule: non-coding RNA, 19 nt
Filed under: Sarcophilus harrisii (Tasmanian devil)
Lineage: Eukaryota; Metazoa; Chordata; Mammalia; Dasyuromorphia; Dasyuridae
Also listed under: 2 other names
Gene: sha-miR-23b
Source: miRBase by way of RNAcentral